This 70-nucleotide transfer RNA is filed under the name Dipodomys ordii (Ord's kangaroo rat). It matches the Rfam family "tRNA". Rfam says of the family: Transfer RNA (tRNA) molecules are approximately 80 nucleotides in length. The record is from Rfam by way of RNAcentral. Lineage: Eukaryota; Metazoa; Chordata; Mammalia; Rodentia; Heteromyidae.
GGGAACAUGGCUUAGUGGUAGAGCGCUUGCCUAGCAUGCAUGAAGCCCUGGGUUCGAUUUCUCAGUACCA